UGAGGCGGGGAGAGUAAAAAAGAGGGCCGAAGAGUGAUGGGCAUGGGAACAUGAUGGAAGGCUGAAGAACUCAGUUUCUCGUCUAAGACUGAAAGAGGCUUUGUUUUGAGUUUUUAUAAUGCCUCUUAUCCCUAUUGUUCUUUUGUGUUCCUUCCUCUCCCUUCUGGAU
Triticum aestivum (bread wheat) is the source of this 169-nucleotide non-coding RNA. Lineage: Eukaryota; Viridiplantae; Streptophyta; Magnoliopsida; Poales; Poaceae. The record is from Rfam.